Molecule: non-coding RNA, 98 nt
Organism: Mycena rebaudengoi
Lineage: Eukaryota; Fungi; Basidiomycota; Agaricomycetes; Agaricales; Mycenaceae
Source: the annotation of a GenBank genome assembly
GACCUAAUAGCGAAAUUGGCAUCGUGUCCACUGCACUUAGACAUCCGCAAGUACAUGAGUCAAGGUGGAAGUCCCUCGUUCGAACCGAGGUUAGGUCG